UUUGACUAUACGAAGGUAUUGAAAUAAGAUUUUAAAUGAGUGCUAAGAGAAUGAUUAAACAAUUAAAAGCUUUCUUUAAUUGAAUAAUUGAAUUUAAUUUUUUAGUGCAAAAGCAAAAAUAAAAAUUAGGGACAAGAAGACCCUAUGAAUUUUUUAUUAAAUUUUAUAAAACUUUAUAUAAAAUUUAAUUUAAUUGGGGUGAUGGAAAAAGAAUAAAUAUCUUUUUUUAAAAAGAAAAUUGGUUCCGUUUUUAGCGAUUAAAUGAAAAAAAUACUCUAGGGAUAACAGCGUAAUAAUUUUGGAUAGUUCAUAUAGAUAAAAUAGUUUGCGACCUCGAUGUUGGAUUAGGAU
Molecule: ribosomal RNA, 351 nt
Filed under: Ixodes ricinus (castor bean tick)
Lineage: Eukaryota; Metazoa; Arthropoda; Arachnida; Ixodida; Ixodidae
Description: partial large subunit ribosomal RNA
Source: RNAcentral